This 465-nucleotide ribosomal RNA is filed under the name uncultured bacterium. RNAcentral describes it as "partial 16S ribosomal RNA". It matches the Rfam family "Bacterial small subunit ribosomal RNA", at positions 28 to 507 of the family's 1533-position model. The record is from RNAcentral.
GACGAACGCUGGCGGCGUGCUUAACACAUGCAAGUCGAACGGAAAGGCCCUGCUUGCAGGGUACUCGAGUGGCGAACGGGUGAGUAACACGUGGGUGAUCUGCCCUGCACUUCGGGAUAAGCCUGGGAAACUGGGUCUAAUACCGGAUAGGAGCCAUUUUUAGUGUGAUGGUUGGAAAGUUUUUUCGGUGUAGGAUGAGCUCGCGGCCUAUCAGCUUGUUGGUGGGGUAAUGGCCUACCAAGGCGGCAACGGGUAGCCGGCCUGAGGGGGUGGACGGCCACAUUGGGACUGAGAUACGGCCCAGACUCCUACGGGAGGCAGCAGUGGGGAAUAUUGCACAAUGGGCGCAAGCCUGAUGCAGCGACGCCGCGUGGGGGAUGACGGCCUUCGGGUUGUAAACUCCUUUCGCUAGGGACGAAGCUUUUUGUGACGGUACCUAGAUAAGAAGCACCGGCUAACUACGUG